CUCAUAAAUCCCACAAUCCAAUCGAAUAAUAGUCUCCGCCCGUCUUCUCGAGACCCAGCGAUGGCAACGGCGACCCGGAUGCUGGCUCGCCGCGCCGCCCCCGGCCUCCUCCGCUCCGCCACCACCCCCGGCCUCCUACGCUCCGCCGCCGCCGCCACAGGCCCCAACCCCGCCCUCGCGCUGCCGGCGCUGCUGCAGACGCAAGGAGGAGGACGGCGCUGGUACCGCGCAGCAAGAGGGGACCCGUCGCCCUCGUUCUACGAGCCGCCGCCGACCCCGGCCAACCUCGGCCUCAGCAUCGUCCCGGAGAAGAAGGCGUUUGUGGUGGAGCGCUUCGGCAAGUACCUCAAGACCCUGUCGUCGGGGAUCCACCUCCUCAUGCCGGGCGUCGACCAAAUCGCCUACGUCCACUCGCUCAAGGAGGAGGCCAUCCCCAUCCCGGACAACUCGGCAAUCACCAAGGACAACGUCUCGAUACAGAUCGGAGGAGUGCUAUACGUCAAGAUUGUCGACCCCUACAUGGCCUCGUACGGCGUGGAGAACCCCAUCUAUGCUGUCAUCCAACUUGCGCAGACGACCAUGAGGAGUGAACUUGGCAAGAUUACCCUCGACAAGACCUUCGAGGAGAGGGACACGCUCAACACCAACAUUGUGAAGUCAAUCAAUGAGGCAGCCGAAACUUGGGGUUUGAAGUGUCUUCGUUACGAAAUCAGGGACAUCACUCCUCCAGAUGGAGUCAAGAAGGCCAUGGAGAUGCAGGCCGCAGCAGAGCGCAAGAAACGUGCUCAGAUCCUCGAGUCUGAAGGUGCUAUGAUGGAAAACGCAAACAAAGCAAAGGGUGAAGCUGAAGCAAUUCUUGCCCGGUCACAGGCCACUGCUGAAGGGAUCAGGAUGGUCUCAGAGUCGUUUAAAACUGAAGGCAGCACAGAGGCUGCCAGCUUGAGGAUUGCUGAACAGUACUCCCUCUGUAAACUAAUAUAAGAGCAUUUAGAACACUAAAAUAGUGAUCUAAACGCUCUUAUAUUAAUUUACGGAGGGAGUACAUCAGAGCAUUCAGUGAACUGGCUAGAACUACAAACACAAUGCUUCUUCCCAGCGACGCAGGCAAUCCGGGAACAAUGAUUGCUCAGGCUCUCCAGAUAUACAACCACACGUACAAGCAGAAACUGACUCUGGGAAGCCCCAGCCCCAGCCCCAGCCCCAGCAGGCGGGCAGAAGAGGCUGAUUUGUCCCUUGGGAUGCCAUCCGUGAGCGACCUCGGCACCUUUCAGCACCAGAAGUAAAGUAUUGAGUGGGGAAUCUUUUUUUUUCUAUUCUGUUAGGGAGGGAUGAAUAGCUAGACUGGAUAGAUAGAUUGCUAGGAAGGAUCGCGAGUGAAGUUUUUCUGAUUCGGUCAGAUAGAACACAAUACAUGGUCGGUUAGGAGCAGCUUGAGAGCAAGCUUUUUGUCUGUCUAUAUGAACGGGUGAUGUUAUUACAUGAGAUUUUUUAGGUUUAUAUCAACCGGUUUUGGUGCAACAAUA
This is an RNA transcript of Triticum aestivum (bread wheat), 1523 nucleotides long. It is a transcript of the gene named stomatin-like protein 2, mitochondrial, with no coding region annotated. NCBI's taxonomy places the organism in Eukaryota, Viridiplantae, Streptophyta, Magnoliopsida, Poales, Poaceae. The transcript has 8 exons. The record is from RefSeq and is a predicted model, not a curated record.